RNAcentral lists this ribosomal RNA (809 nucleotides) under uncultured bacterium. RNAcentral's name for it is "bacterial SSU rRNA". It matches the Rfam family "Bacterial small subunit ribosomal RNA", at positions 67 to 845 of the family's 1533-position model. The record is from RNAcentral.
UGAUUGACGGUGCUUGCACCUGAUUGAUUUCGGUCGCCAACGAGUGGCGGACGGGUGAGUAACACGUAGGUAACCUGCCCAGAAGCGGGGGACAACAUUUGGAAACAGAUGCUAAUACCGCAUAACAACGUUGUUCGCAUGAACAACGCUUAAAAGAUGGCUUCUCGCUAUCACUUCUGGAUGGACCUGCGGUGCAUUAGCUUGUUGGUGGGGUAACGGCCUACCAAGGCGAUGAUGCAUAGCCGAGUUGAGAGACUGAUCGGCCACAAUGGGACUGAGACACGGCCCAUACUCCUACGGGAGGCAGCAGUAGGGAAUCUUCCACAAUGGGCGCAAGCCUGAUGGAGCAACACCGCGUGAGUGAAGAAGGGUUUCGGCUCGUAAAGCUCUGUUGUUAAAGAAGAACACGUAUGAGAGUAACUGUUCAUACGUUGACGGUAUUUAACCAGAAAGUCACGGCUAACUACGUGCCAGCAGCCGCGGUAAUACGUAGGUGGCAAGCGUUAUCCGGAUUUAUUGGGCGUAAAGAGAGUGCAGGCGGUUUUCUAAGUCUGAUGUGAAAGCCUUCGGCUUAACCGGAGAAGUGCAUCGGAAACUGGAUAACUUGAGUGCAGAAGAGGGUAGUGGAACUCCAUGUGUAGCGGUGGAAUGCGUAGAUAUAUGGAAGAACACCAGUGGCGAAGGCGGCUACCUGGUCUGCAACUGACGCUGAGACUCGAAAGCAUGGGUAGCGAACAGGAUUAGAUACCCUGGUAGUCCAUGCCGUAAACGAUGAGUGCUAGGGGUUGGAGGGUUUCCGCCCUUCAGUG